This 720-nucleotide ribosomal RNA is filed under the name Triticum aestivum (bread wheat). RNAcentral's name for it is "partial small subunit ribosomal RNA". Lineage: Eukaryota; Viridiplantae; Streptophyta; Magnoliopsida; Poales; Poaceae. The record is from RNAcentral.
AUGACCUGCUUUAACUAUAGUUGGCCGGGGCACUAUGUAGGGAACUGUAUCGAACCAAAUAAGUGCUUUAUUUGCCCGGGAGGCCAUAAUGUCAAUAACUGUGCUGCAUGGGCGAAACCACAUCCUACAGCGACUUACUUUGGUAGCGCAGCGGCUGGUCUUGGUUUUUACCACAUUGAUGUUCCUACUGCAUCUGAGCUAAGUUGGCUUAACUACAAGAAAUGUGCAAUUCUCAAAGUUAUUAAGGGCGAGGUUCCUGCCUCAGAGUUGCUGAUCCAGCUCAAUGGGAUUUUCGGUAAAAAUAAAGAAUGGCCUUGGCAGAUUAGAGAUUUGGGAGAGAAGAAAUUCUUGCUGAGAUUUCCACCUUGGAAGAAUGUGGAAGACCUGAUUGAGUUUCCUGCUUUUGAGCUCCCAAUUGAUGGUGUUUCUAUUAAGAUCUGUGAAUGGGUGGGGAUGCUGGAUGAAUUUGGAGGACUUACUGAGGCCUGGGUUCAGAUAGAAGGGAUUCCUCCAAAGUGGUGUGCAUGGAAGGUGUUUGCCCAGAUUACAGCUUGUUUUGGGAUCUUAGUGGAUGUGGAUUGGACUGGUAUAUUCAAGAGCUUUUAUGAGAAUAUAAGAGUUAAAGUGGCUUGUAGGGACCCCAGGAAAAUUCCUUUUGAGAGGUUAGUGGAAAUGAAAAGGAAGCUAUACAUUCUGUUCUUUAUUGUUGAGAGUUUUGAG